UACAGAGGGGGCAAGCGUUGUUCGGAUUUACUGGGCGUAAAGCGCGCGUAGGCGGAUCACUAAGUCAGGGGUGAAAUCCUGGAGCUCAACUCCAGAACUGCCUUUGAUACUGAAGAUCUUGAGUUCGGGAGAGGUGAGUGGAACUGCGAGUGUAGAGGUGAAAUUCGUAGAUAUUCGCAAGAACACCAGUGGCGAAGGCGGCUCACUGGCCCGAUACUGACGCUGAGGCACGAAAGCGUGGGGAGCAAACAGG
Molecule: ribosomal RNA, 253 nt
Filed under: uncultured bacterium
Lineage: Bacteria
Description: partial 16S ribosomal RNA
Rfam family: Bacterial small subunit ribosomal RNA
Source: RNAcentral